Molecule: non-coding RNA, 651 nt
Organism: Pongo pygmaeus (Bornean orangutan)
Lineage: Eukaryota; Metazoa; Chordata; Mammalia; Primates; Hominidae
Source: the annotation of a RefSeq genome assembly
AUGGACUGGACCUGGAGGUUCCUAUUCUUGGUGGCAGCAGCUACAGGUGCCCUGUCCCAGGACCAGAUGCAGCAGUCUGGGGCUGAGGUGAGGAAGCCUGGGACCUCAGUGAAGGUUUCUUGCAAGGUUUCUGGAUAUACCUCAAGCAGGUUACGUAUCAGCUAUCGUAUCAGCUGGGUGCAACAGGUCCCUGGACAAGGGCUUGAAUGGAUGGGAUGGAUCAUCACUGGCAAUGGUGACACAAACUAUGCACAGAAGUUCCAGGGCAGAGUCACCAUGACCAGGGACACGUCCACAAGCACAGCCUACAUGGAGCUGAGCAGCCUGAGAUCUGAGGACACGGCCGUGUAUUACUGUGCGAGAGACAGGCCAGGAGCUACAAUACCUUGGUCUGGAAAGCAGUGGACAGAAAUAUCGGUUUCUCUUGCCACACAUCUGAACACCAGGCAGGUGCUGGAGACACUGUUUCAGGAGCACCCAGCAGAUCUCAGAGGGACCUGCUGGUCACUCACGUGGGACAUCAGCAGUAACUUUCUCAGUCGCCAGUCAGCUGUGCUGGUGACUGAUGGAUCCAGGACAGAACCAAGGCACCUGCUCAGUGUCAUGGAGAGUGAUGGUUCCAGAAAUUAUCCAGGUGCUCUUUGCUUAUAA